UUUUAUCACUGAGUAAUCUUCCCAGCCCUUUGUUCUCUUUCAUUCCAUCAGGCCUUCAGCCCGGUGGAUGGUGCUAUCUACACUUCGGGCUGAUACUCCCUCCUUGGUUAAUCGUCUUUGGAAAUGCCCUUAUCCCACUCCAUGCCUCCUUCUCAACAGCAGAGUGUGUCACUGUACUUCUCAAUACAAUCACAUUGAAGAUCAAGGAUGACCAUCACCUCUUUGAAGCAAGGAGAACCACUCUCUAAGAUAUCAGCUCAUAGCAUGUUCCUUGGGACUCCAGCACCACACAAAGUCGUUGUCGAGGCACAAAGGUUGGGUCCUACUUCCCUCCUCCCUGUGCUUCCUGCCUUUUGUGCUCAGCCUCUGAAACUGCCAGGAAGAAAUGGCUACAAGCCCCAGAUGUCAUGUCUGAGCUAUUUAUCAGUGAGAAGGUGAGGGCAGCUAAUCAAACCGCUACGAAAGACGUUGGGAGAUGCCCCAUGCCUACAAAAGGUCCUUUAGUACCAAAUCAGCACCAACUUGGGACCCCUCAGAGCCUUAGAUUCAGUUCUGUAAUCAAAGCCUCCUCAAUUUCCUACAGGCCCCAGCACAUAGCCCCCUACACCUCCCCUGAAAGGAAAAACCAGCCCUGAAGGCAGACUCAGUCUCCUCUCCCCUCCC
This 663-nucleotide long non-coding RNA is filed under the name Rattus norvegicus (Norway rat). RNAcentral describes it as "long non-coding RNA NONRATT032027". Lineage: Eukaryota; Metazoa; Chordata; Mammalia; Rodentia; Muridae. The record is from RNAcentral.